This 1119-nucleotide long non-coding RNA is filed under the name Homo sapiens (human). Its description in RNAcentral is "non-protein coding lnc-CDH8-10:8". The record is from RNAcentral. Lineage: Eukaryota; Metazoa; Chordata; Mammalia; Primates; Hominidae.
AGACAUCUGGGCUGCUAGCUGCAUGAAGGAGCUACCCGCUGUGGGUCUCCUCUUUGCUGACAGCUGGACACUUGACAGAAUGACCUGCCUGAACUCGGGACCUGCAGAAUGAUGGGACUGAAGAAGCUGUAACACAAACAGGGCUAAAACACGCACUCUCCUCCCCCUGCUCCCCACCGCCCCACCCACUUGCCACAUUGGAGGUGAUGAGAAGGAGAGAAGAGCUGUGGCCUUUCAGGGAGCAUAGUCCCAGGGGCUCCCUGAGCCAGGGCUGUGAAACCCUCUUCCGGGCACUGCAGUUCCUGGCAUCUCCAAACUUCUGAGUGCCACCGCAUUCCCCGCGUCCGGAUGCAGGUCAAUGCACAGAAAGAAAUCUCUCUCCUGACUUUAGUACAAUGGCACGAUUGGUGGCCACAGUCCAAGGAUGGUUGCUGGGGCACCAAGAGAUUUCUGACAAAGGGCAUUAAAACUGAGAAAGUUUGGGAACCUCUGAAUGCUGUAGGACUUGCAUUUACGUUCUAACUGAGCUUGUUGGACACUGAAAUGGAGGAAGAAUCACAAGCCAUUUUCAAACCUGAUUAUGGCCUCCAGUUCCAUCCAUGUUGCUGCAGAAGCUAUAAUUUUAUUCUUUUGAAUGGUGAGUAGUAUUCCAUAUAUGUGUAUGUAUAUUAUAUAUAUAUGUGUGUGUGUGUGUAUGUAUAUAUAUAUGCCACAUUUUCAUCAUCCAUACCUCCUUUGAUGGAUACUUAGGUUGAUUCUAUAUCUUUGCUAUUGUGAGUAGUGUUAUGAUAAACAUACAAAUGCAGGUAUCUUUUUGAUAUAAUUAUUUAUUUCUUCUUAGGUACAUACUCAGUGGGAUUGUUUGGUUCAAUGAUAGUUCUGUUUUUAGUUAUUUGAGACAUUUCCAUACUGUUUUCCAUGAAAGCUGUACUAAUUUACAUUCCCACCAACAGUGUAUAAAUGUUCCCUUUCUUCCAAAACCUCAUUAACAUCUGUUGUUUUUUGACUUUUUAAUAAUAGAUAUUCUGACUGGUGUAAGAUGAUAUCUCCUUGUGGUUUUAAUUUACAUGUAUAUUAUGAUUAAUAAUGUUGAACAUUUUGUCAUAUAUUUCUUGUUGG